UAGUCCACGCCGUAAACGAUGGAUACUAGCUGUCCGGAAUCUUGAAUUCUGGGCGGCCAAGCGAAAGUGAUAAGUAUCCCACCUGGGGAGUACGUUCGCAAGAAUGAAACUCAAAGGAAUUGACGGGGGCCCGCACAAGCGGUGGAGCAUGUGGUUUAAUUCGAUGAUACGCGAGGAACCUUACCAAGGCUUAAAUGUAGAAUGACAGGACUGGAAACAGUCCCUUCUUCGGACAAUCUACAAGGUGCUGCAUGGUUGUCGUCAGCUCGUGCUGUGAAGUGUCGGGUUAAGUCCCAUAACGAGCGCAACCCCUAUUUUCAGUUGCCAGCGAGUAAUGUCGGGGACUCUGGAAAACUGCCACCGUAAGGUGAGAGGAAGGUGGGGAUGACGUCAAAUCAAUCACGGCCCUUACGUCUUGGGCUACACACGUGCUACAAUGGUCGGUACAGAGGGCAGCUACCUAGUGAUAGGAUGCGAAUCUCCAAAGCCGGUACUCAGUUCGGAUCGAAGU
RNAcentral lists this ribosomal RNA (511 nucleotides) under uncultured bacterium. RNAcentral's name for it is "bacterial SSU rRNA". It matches the Rfam family "Bacterial small subunit ribosomal RNA", at positions 791 to 1304 of the family's 1533-position model. The record is from RNAcentral.